AAAACAUGUUCUUUUGUUUAUAUAAAAGAUUUGACCUGCCCAAUGAUUUAUAUUUAAUGGCUGCAGUAUUUUGACUGUACAAAGGUAGCAUAAUCAUUUGUCCUUUAAUUAGGGUCUAGAAUGAAUGGUUUGAUGAAAAAUAUACUUUCUUUCUUUUAUAGGAAAAAUUUAAUUUUUUGGUUAAAAAGCUAAAAUAUAUUUAUAGGACGAGAAGACCCUAUAGAACUUUAUUUUUAUUUUAUAUAUUUAAUUUAGAAAUUAUUAGAAUAUAUAUAAAGAUUAAAUUUUGUUGGGGUGACAGAAAAAAAUUCAUAACUUUUUCUAUUUUUAUCAUUAUAGGUGAAAUUUUUGAUCCUUUUUUAUGGAUAAAAGACUAAGUUACCUUAGGGAUAACAGCGUUAUUAUUUUGGAGAGUUCAUAUCGAUGAAAUAGUUUGCGACCUCGAUGUUGGAUUAUAAUAAGAUAUAGAAGUAGAAUGUUAUAUUCUGGGUCUGUUCGACCUUUAAAUUUUUACAUGAUCUGAGU
RNAcentral lists this ribosomal RNA (525 nucleotides) under Pseudopsallus viridicans. Its description in RNAcentral is "partial 16S ribosomal RNA". It matches the Rfam family "Bacterial large subunit ribosomal RNA", at positions 1810 to 2610 of the family's 2925-position model. Lineage: Eukaryota; Metazoa; Arthropoda; Insecta; Hemiptera; Miridae. The record is from RNAcentral.